UACGGAAGGUCCAGGCGUUAUCCGGAUUUAUUGGGUUUAAAGGGAGCGUAGGCGGCCUGUUAAGCGUGUUGUGAAAUGUAGAGGCUCAACCUCUGCACUGCAGCGCGAACUGGCGGGCUUGAGUUGGCUGAAAGUAUGCGGAAUUCGUGGUGUAGCGGUGAAAUGCUUAGAUAUCACGAAGAACUCCGAUUGCGAAGGCAGCAUGCUGUAGCCUUACUGACGCUGAAGCUCGAAGGUGCGGGUAUCGAACAGG
This 253-nucleotide ribosomal RNA is filed under the name uncultured Prevotella sp. Its description in RNAcentral is "partial 16S ribosomal RNA". It matches the Rfam family "Bacterial small subunit ribosomal RNA", at positions 524 to 776 of the family's 1533-position model. Lineage: Bacteria; Pseudomonadati; Bacteroidota; Bacteroidia; Bacteroidales; Prevotellaceae. The record is from RNAcentral.